CGACUAUGAUAUCGUGCUACUAAGAUUUGGCAUGCACACUAUUUAAACCAUAACCAGGGAGGAGGUAAAUAUAUUUACGGAAGAAAGAAGAAAUACACAAGAUGGAAGAAGAUUUUACCCUUUUCAACGCUAUUCUUAUAAACACCUUAAGCAGGAACCAUGUGACAAUGUUCACAAAAGCUGUCCAAAACACCCUAGACAAGAAAGUACGAAUUAAAAUGAGCUUAGGUGACAGACUGACCAUCAUUUGACCGAAAAAAUAAUAAAAACAAAAAGCCCACAAGAAGGAGAGAAAAAAGAAAUUGAAAAAAUACAUUGAUAAAUAUAAGAGAC
RNAcentral lists this long non-coding RNA (333 nucleotides) under Mytilus galloprovincialis (Mediterranean mussel). Lineage: Eukaryota; Metazoa; Mollusca; Bivalvia; Mytilida; Mytilidae. The record is from RNAcentral.